CGGCAAGACGGAAAGACCCCGUGAACCUUUACUAUAGCUUGACACUGAACAUUGAGCCUUGAUGUGUAGGAUAGGUGGGAGGCUUUGAAGCGUGGACGCCAGUCUGCGUGGAGCCAACCUUGAAAUACCACCCUUUAAUGUUUGAUGUUCUAACGUUGGCCCCUUACCGGGGUUGCGGACAGUGUCUGGUGGGUAGUUUGACUGGGCGGUCUCCUCCCAAAGCGUAACGGAGGAGCACGAAGGUUAGCUAAUCCUGGUCGGACAUCAGGAGGUUAGUGCAAUGGCAUAAGCUAGCUUGACUGCGAGCGUGACGGCGCGAGCAGGUGCGAAAGCAGGUCAUAGUGAUCCGGUGGUUCUGAAUGGAAGGGCCAUCGCUCAACGGAUAAAAGGUACUCCGGGGAUAACAGGCUGAUACCGCCCAAGAGUUCAUAUCGACGGCG
RNAcentral lists this ribosomal RNA (440 nucleotides) under Klebsiella pneumoniae. RNAcentral's name for it is "bacterial LSU rRNA". It matches the Rfam family "Bacterial large subunit ribosomal RNA", at positions 2073 to 2513 of the family's 2925-position model. The record is from RNAcentral. Lineage: Bacteria; Pseudomonadati; Pseudomonadota; Gammaproteobacteria; Enterobacterales; Enterobacteriaceae.